GACGAACGCUGUCGGUGUGCUUAACACAUGCAAGUCGAACGGAAAGGCCCUGCUUUUGUGGGGUGCUCGAGUGACGAACGGGUGAGUAACACGUGAGUAACCUGCCCUUGACUUUGGGAUAACUUCAGGAAACUGGGGCUAAUACCGGAUAGGAGCUCCUGCUGCAUGGUGGGGGUUGGAAAGUUUCGGCGGUUGGGGAUGGACUCGCGGCUUAUCAGCUUGUUGGUGGGGUAGUGGCUUACCAAGGCUUUGACGGGUAGCCGGCCUGAGAGGGUGACCGGCCACAUUGGGACUGAGAUACGGCCCAGACUCCUACGGGAGGCAGCAGUGGGGAAUAUUGCACAAUGGGCGGAAGCCUGAUGCAGCAACGCCGCGUGCGGGAUGACGGCCUUCGGGUUGUAAACCGCUUUCGCCUGUGACGAAGCGUGAGUGACGGUAAUGGGUAAAGAAGCACCGGCUAACUACGUGCCAGCAGCCGCGGUGAUACGUANGGUGCGAGCGUUGUCCGGAUUUAUUGGGCGUAAAGGGCUCGUAGGUGGUUGAUCGCGUCGGAAGUGUAAUCUUGGGGCUUAACCCUGAGCGUGCUUUCGAUACGGGUUGACUUGAGGAAGGUAGGGGAGAAUGGAAUUCCUGGUGGAGCGGUGGAAUGCGCAGAUAUCAGGAGGAACACCAGUGGCGAAGGCGGUUCUCUGGGCCUUUCCUGACGCUGAGGAGCGAAAGCGUGGGGAGCGAACAGGCUUAGAUACCCUGGUAGUCCACGCUGUAAACGGUGGGUACUAGGUGUGGGGUCCAUUCCACGGGUUCCGUGCCGUAGCUAACGCUUUAAGUACCCCGCCUGGGGAGUACGGCCGCAAGGCUAAAACUCAAAGGAAUUGACGGGGCCCCGCACAAGCGGCGGAGCAUGCGGAUUAAUUCGAUGCAACGCGUAGAACCUUACCUGGGUUUGACAUGGAUCGGGAGUGCUCAGAGAUGGGUGUGCCUCUUUUGGGGUCGGUUCACAGGUGGUGCAUGGCUGUCGUCAGCUCGUGUCGUGAGAUGUUGGGUUAAGUCCCGCAACGAGCGCAACCCUUGUUCACUGUUGCCAGCACGUUAUGGUGGGGACUCAGUGGAGACCGCCGGGGUCAACUCGGAGGAAGGUGGGGAUGACGUCAAGUCAUCAUGCCCCUUAUGUCCAGGGCUUCACGCAUGCUACAAUGGCUGGUACAGAGAGUGGCGAGCCUGUGAGGGUGAGCGAAUCUCGGAAAGCCGGUCUCAGUUCGGAUUGGGGUCUGCAACUCGACCUCAUGAAGUCGGAGUCGCUAGUAACCGCAGAUCAGCAACGCUGCGGUGAAUACGUUCCCGGG
This 1343-nucleotide ribosomal RNA is filed under the name uncultured bacterium. Its description in RNAcentral is "16S ribosomal RNA". It matches the Rfam family "Bacterial small subunit ribosomal RNA", at positions 28 to 1378 of the family's 1533-position model. The record is from RNAcentral.